UUGCUUUGACGUUUUGGAUAAAAGAGUUGGGGCAGAGAUGUCCCAGUACAAUGUUCACUGUCAUUGCAAAACAUCAAACUUGACAUUGAGCACCAAUUCUUUUAUCCAAAACGUCAAAGCAAAGUGGUUCCAAGUUCUUGUACAUGUAGUUUCCUUGGACCUUAGUUGUUACUUGUAAAUGUUCUCAUAUUUGGCUAAACAUGUAAACACGCAAGAUAUGAUCCUCCAUACAACCAUUUAAUGCACAACACAGAAAUCCUCAGUUGUGUUCUAGUUUCCCUUAUUUGAACGACAAA
Molecule: unclassified non-coding RNA, 296 nt
Filed under: Hevea brasiliensis (rubber tree)
Lineage: Eukaryota; Viridiplantae; Streptophyta; Magnoliopsida; Malpighiales; Euphorbiaceae
Source: RNAcentral